UACGGAGGGUGCAAGCGUUAAUCGGAAUUACUGGGCGUAAAGCGUGCGCAGGCGGUUUGUUAAGUCCGUUGUGAAAGCCCCGAGCUCAACUUGGGAAUUGCAGUGGAUACUGGCAGGCUGGAGUACGGUAGAGGAAGGUGGAAUUCCCGGUGUAGCAGUGAAAUGCGCAGAUAUCGGGAGGAACACCGGUGGCGAAGGCGGUUCUCUGGGCCUGUACUGACGCUGAGGAGCGAAAGCGUGGGGAGCGAACAGG
This 253-nucleotide ribosomal RNA is filed under the name uncultured bacterium. RNAcentral describes it as "partial 16S ribosomal RNA". It matches the Rfam family "Bacterial small subunit ribosomal RNA", at positions 524 to 776 of the family's 1533-position model. The record is from RNAcentral.